UACGGAGGGAGCUAGCGUUGUUCGGAAUUACUGGGCGUAAGGCGCACGUAGGCGGCUUUGUAAGUUAGAGGUGAAAGCCCGGGGCUCAACUCCGGAACUGCCUUUAAGACUGCAUCGCUUGAAUCCAGGAGAGGUGAGUGGAAUUCCGAGUGUAGAGGUGAAAUUCGUAGAUAUUCGGAAGAACACCAGUGGCGAAGGCGGCUCACUGGACUGGUAUUGACGCUGAGGUGCGAAAGCGUGGGGAGCAAACAGG
RNAcentral lists this ribosomal RNA (253 nucleotides) under uncultured bacterium. Its description in RNAcentral is "partial 16S ribosomal RNA". It matches the Rfam family "Bacterial small subunit ribosomal RNA", at positions 524 to 776 of the family's 1533-position model. The record is from RNAcentral.